RNAcentral lists this transfer RNA (94 nucleotides) under Caldinitratiruptor microaerophilus. Its description in RNAcentral is "tRNA-Arg". The record is from RNAcentral. Lineage: Bacteria; Bacillati; Bacillota; Clostridia; Eubacteriales; Symbiobacteriaceae.
GCGGCAGGUGGUGGUGCGCUUCGACCACGACUGCGCCCGCUGCGGCCGGCGGAUCGCGGCGGGCAGCCGGGCCGUGCGAAUCGGCCAGCCGCCC